This 21-nucleotide microRNA is filed under the name Physcomitrium patens. RNAcentral describes it as "ppt-miR1047-3p". Lineage: Eukaryota; Viridiplantae; Streptophyta; Bryopsida; Funariales; Funariaceae. The record is from miRBase by way of RNAcentral.
UGAUCAGCGAUGACCUAGUUG